AUGCCACGCGCCGGCCGGUUCCUGUUCUGCAUUGCCGCCGUGGCCGCGGUGGUGCUCGUCGUGGUGCCGCCGGCGGGCGUGGCCGGCCACACGAGGGGUGUGCGGCCGGGGCAGGCGGCGGGGCGGCCGUUCCCGGAGAACGCGACGCGGGCGGAGGAACUGGAGCGGCUGUUCAUGCGGUGGGUGCGGUACGUGGGCGGCCUCAAGCACAGCACCUUCCACCACGCGCCGCUGGCCCGCGCGUUCCCGUCCUACUCGCUCAUCGUCAACAAGGACCCCGCGGCCGGCGACUUCACGUCCGUCCAGGCCGCCGUCGACUCGCUCCCGACCAUCAACCUCGUCCGCGUCGUCAUCAAGGUCAACGCCGGCACAUACACGGAGAAGGUGACGAUCUCGUCGAUGCGCGCGUUCAUCACCCUGGAGGGCGCCGGCGCCGACAAGACGAUCGUGCAGUGGGGCGACACGGCGGACACGCCCGCCGGGCCGAGGGGGCGCCCGCUGGGCACGUACGGCUCCGCGUCGUUCGCCGUGAACGCGCAGUACUUCAUCGCCAGGAACAUCACCUUCAAGAACACGGCGCCGGUGCCGAAUGCGGGGGCGACGGGGAAGCAGGCGGUGGCGCUGCGGGUGUCGGCGGACAACGCGGCGUUCGUGGGGUGCCGGUUCCUGGGCGCGCAGGACACGCUCUACGACCAGUCGGGGCGCCACUACUACAAGGACUGCUACAUCGAGGGGUCCAUCGACUUCAUCUUCGGCAACGCGUUCUCCCUCUACGAGGACACGGGGUUCUCGUUCGUCAACUGCAGGGUGACGGGGUCGGGGGCGCUCUACCUGGGCCGGGCCUGGGGCACCUUCUCCCGCGUCGUCUUCGCCUACACCUACAUAGACGACAUCAUCGUCCCGCACGGCUGGUACAACUGGGGCGACCCCAGCCGCGAGCUGACGGUGUACUACGGGCAGUACAAGUGCACCGGGCCCGGCGCGAGCUACUCCGGCAGGGUGUCGUGGUCGCGGGAGCUCACCGACGAGGAGGCCAAGCCCUUCAUCUCGCUCAGCUUCAUCGACGGCACCGAGUGGAUCAGGAUCUGA
This 1089-nucleotide ribosomal RNA is filed under the name Triticum aestivum (bread wheat). RNAcentral describes it as "partial small subunit ribosomal RNA". The record is from RNAcentral. Lineage: Eukaryota; Viridiplantae; Streptophyta; Magnoliopsida; Poales; Poaceae.